RNAcentral lists this ribosomal RNA (402 nucleotides) under uncultured bacterium. Its description in RNAcentral is "partial 16S ribosomal RNA". It matches the Rfam family "Bacterial small subunit ribosomal RNA", at positions 355 to 774 of the family's 1533-position model. The record is from RNAcentral.
UGGGGAAUAUUGGACAAUGGGCGAAAGCCUGAUCCAGCCAUGCCGCAUGAGUGAAGAAGGCCUUUGGGUUGUAAAGCUCUUUUAGUGAGGAAGAUAAUGACGGUACUCACAGAAGAAGUCCUGGCUAACUCCGUGCCAGCAGCCGCGGUAAUACGGAGAGGGCUAGCGUUAUUCGGAAUUAUUGGGCGUAAAGGGCGCGUAGGCUGGUUAAUAAGUUAAAAGUGAAAUCCCGAGGCUUAACCUUGGAAUUGCUUUUAAAACUAUUAAUCUAGAGAUUGAAAGAGGAUAGAGGAAUUCCUGAUGUAGAGGUAAAAUUCGUAAAUAUUAGGAGGAACACCAGUGGCGAAGGCGUCUAUCUGGUUCAAAUCUGACGCUGAAGCGCGAAGGCGUGGGGAACAAACA